CUAACACAUGCAAGUCGACCGAGAUCUUCGGAUCCUAGUGGCGCACGGGUGCGUAACGCGUGGGAAUUUGCCCUUGGGUUCGGAAUAACAGUUAGAAAUGACUGCUAAUACCGGAUGAAGUCUACGGACCAAAGAUUUAUCGCCCAGGGAUGAGCCCGCGUAGGAUUAGCUAGUUGGUGGGGUAAAGGCCUACCAAGGCGACGAUCCUUAGCUGGUCUGAGAGGAUGAUCAGCCACACUGGGACUGAGACACGGCCCAGACUCCUACGGGAGGCAGCAGUGGGGAAUAUUGGACAAUGGGGGCAACCCUGAUCCAGCAAUGCCGCGUGAGUUGAUGAAGGCCUUCGGUUCGUAAAGCUCUUUUACCCGGGAUGAUA
Molecule: ribosomal RNA, 376 nt
Filed under: uncultured bacterium
Lineage: Bacteria
Description: bacterial SSU rRNA
Rfam family: Bacterial small subunit ribosomal RNA
Source: RNAcentral